Molecule: long non-coding RNA, 201 nt
Filed under: Homo sapiens (human)
Lineage: Eukaryota; Metazoa; Chordata; Mammalia; Primates; Hominidae
Description: HSALNT0008501
Source: RNAcentral
GGUGAGUCGGCCUGCGGACUCUUCCGGCCCGAACUUCUCUUACCUACCCCGCGCUCCCCGGUGCAGCCGGGCUGUGGAAGGCUUGCAGGGGAGGAAGCUAAAAAGUUUGCACAGGGCAACUCCCGCCCUUGCUCCCUCGGGACUCUCCGUGGAGCUCCCACGGACUGAAAGAGCGUGCCCCCCAACCCGAACGAGCCCCGC